This is a non-coding RNA of Manis javanica (Malayan pangolin), 1221 nucleotides long. NCBI's taxonomy places the organism in Eukaryota, Metazoa, Chordata, Mammalia, Pholidota, Manidae. The record is from RefSeq and is a predicted model, not a curated record.
GAACACCGAGGCCCCGCCCACAACCGUGAGGCCCACUCACAGCUUUAGUUCCUGAAACGCAAGGCACCGCCCACCACCCAGAGGGCCACUCACAGCCUACCUCCAGAAGGCCUUCUCCCGCCUCCAACACAACACAACACAACACAAUACCACCCACCCCACCCCCCACCACACACACGGAAGCUGGUGGCUGCGAGCCUGGAAGCAGCAACCACUGGCUCCGCGCAGACGCACUCCACCUAAUUCACUUUCGUUUUUGCGGCAAACCUCCGGAGGCCCAGAGGAUGCUGAACCUUCUGUGGAGGCAGCUGUAGAGAAGAGGUCCUGGGAAAUGACACAUCAGGAUGGCCCAGGCAGAUGUCGCAGAGCAAGAACACGAAUGCCAUGGACCCAGUCACACCAAGAUCUCGGGGAACAGGGCUCAGGCAGAGGGACAAGCAACUGUAAGGCCUGCGGUGGGAACUGGUCAGGAGGGCUCAAAGAAGCCUGUGCGACUGGCCAGUCUUUAAAAAUGAGAAUUGGGUGGUGGGAGAUGGAGUCAAAGAGGUUGAGUGAGGUCUGUAGGACAAGGGCAAGGAUUCUAUCUAAGCCUAACAGAAAGCCUUAGGAGUAUCUGAAGUGGGACAGUGACAGGGCCUGAUCACCUUGGGAAAGGACUCAGGGAACACCUGAUCCUGAGAUUUCUAGGGUGAGGGUCCAAAGACAUUUUGGUUUGGAUGAAAUGCUUUCAUUUUAAGGCCUAUAGCAGGGCAUCCAUUCGUCUGUAUCCCUAGGCCUCCCCAUUCCCUAUGGUUUUGCUUGACCCCAUUUACAUAUUUGUAUCACACGGUUGGCCACUUCAGUACAUGAGAGUUUGUGACUCCCCAUCUCAUCCAAUUCUAGUUGCACAGAAUAAGACACUAAGGCCCAAGAAGUGAGUGACUUGUCCAAAACAAGAGAAAAGACUCAAACCAUGAUCUUGAUUAGCUAGCUAUCCAGUGCUGGUCACAUCCCAUCUCUCCCUUUCCUUAAGGCCUUGCUGACGGCAGUGAUGGCUUCCUCCUUAUCCAGGUCAAUAGGAAGAAAGAAACGUAGUUCGUGAAAAUUAAUAAAGGGAAAGGGAACCCUUAUAUUGAAAAGAGUCCAGAAGCUCUUAAGGGGUACUCUUAUGCCAGAACUUUCCACGGCCACUUAUUUCACAAUCCUGGGCAAGAGGUUCUUUACUUCCCAGCAACAGCUUAG